This 471-nucleotide ribosomal RNA is filed under the name uncultured bacterium. Its description in RNAcentral is "partial 16S ribosomal RNA". It matches the Rfam family "Bacterial small subunit ribosomal RNA", at positions 28 to 507 of the family's 1533-position model. The record is from RNAcentral.
GACGAACGCUGGCGGCGUGCUUAACACAUGCAAGUCGAACGAUGAAGCCUAGCUUGCUAGGUGGAUUAGUGGCGAACGGGUGAGUAAUACGUGAGUGACCUACCUUUGACUCUGGGAUAAGCCUGGGAAACUGGGUCUAAUACCGGAUACGACCAAUCUCCGCAUGGGGUGUUGGUGGAAAGCGUUAUGGAGUGGUUUUAGAUGGGCUCACGGCCUAUCAGCUUGUUGGUGAGGUCAUGGCUUACCAAGGCGACGACGGGUAGCCGGCCUGAGAGGGUGACCGGCCACACUGGGACUGAGACACGGCCCAGACUCCUACGGGAGGCAGCAGUGGGGAAUAUUGCACAAUGGGCGCAAGCCUGAUGCAGCGACGCCGCGUGAGGGAUGACGGCCUUCGGGUUGUAAACCUCUGUUAGCAUCGAAGAAGCGAAAGUGACGGUAGGUGCAGAGAAAGCGCCGGCUAACUACGUG